Molecule: ribosomal RNA, 509 nt
Filed under: uncultured Glomeromycotina
Lineage: Eukaryota; Fungi; Glomeromycota
Description: SSU rRNA
Rfam family: Eukaryotic small subunit ribosomal RNA
Source: RNAcentral
AGCAGCCGCGGUAAUUCCAGCCCCUUAUAGCGUAUAUUAAAGUUGUUUGCAGUUAAAAAGCUCGUAGCUUGAAUUUCGGGAUUAGUACGUUGGUCGUGCCUUAGGUACGUACUGGUGUUACUGGUUCCUACCUUCUGACGAACCAUCAUGUCAUUAAUUUGGUGUGGCGGGGAAUCAGGACUGUUACUUUGAAAAAAUUAGAGUGUUUAAAGCAGGCUCGCGCUUGAAUACAUUAGCAUGGAAUAAUGAAAUAGGACGUUGACCCUAUUUUGUUGGUUUCUAGGAUUGACGUAAUGAUUAAUAGGGAUAGUUGGGGCAUUAGUAUUCAAUUGUCAGAGGUGAAAUUCUUGGAUUUAUUGAAGACUAACUACUGCGAAAGCAUUUGCCAAGGAUGUUUCCAUUAAUCAAGAACGAAAGUUAGGGGAUCGAAGACGAUCAGAUACCGUCGUAGUCUUAACCAUAAACUAUGCCGACUAGGGAUCGGAUGAUGUUAAUUUUUUAAUGACUCA